Long non-coding RNA from Gavialis gangeticus (Gharial), 112 nucleotides. RefSeq lists it as uncharacterized. The transcript has 3 exons. The record is from RefSeq and is a predicted model, not a curated record. Lineage: Eukaryota; Metazoa; Chordata; Crocodylia; Gavialidae.
AGUAGAAUCAUAGAAAAUUAGUGCUGAAAGAGACCUCAGGAGGUCAUCUAGGCCAACUCCCUACUCAAAACAGGACCGUUCCCAACUAUAUUAACCCAGGCAGAGUAGGCCC